AACGUACGCUGGCGGCACGCUUAACACAUGCAAGUCGAACGAAGUAGCAAUACUUAGUGGCAGACGGGUGAGUAACAUGUGGGUAUCUGCCCUUUGGCCUGGAAUAACACGAGGAAACUUGUGCUAAUACCGGAUAAGUCUUUACGGAGAAAGCUUUAUGCACCAUUGGAUGAGCCCGCACUUGAUUAGUUUGUUGGUGGGGUAAUGGCCUACCAAGACUGUGAUCAAUAGCUGAUUUGAGAGGAUGAUCAGCCACAUUGGGACUGAGACACGGCCCAAACUCCUACGGGAGGCAGCAGUGGGGAAUCUUGCACAAUGGAGGAAACUCUGAUGCAGCGAUGCCGCGUGAGUGAAGAAGGCCCUUGGGUUGUAAAGCUCUUUCGUCGGGGAAGAAAAUGACUGUACCCGAAUAAGAAGGUCCGGCUAACUUCGUGCCAGCAGCCGCGGUAAUACGAAGGGACCUAGCGUAGUUCGGAAUUACUGGGCUUAAAGAGUUCGUAGGUGGUUGAAAAAGUUAGUGGUGAAAUCCCAGAGCUUAACUCUGGAACUGCCAUUAAAACUUUUCAGCUAGAGUAUGAUAGAGGAAAGCAGAAUUUCUAGUGUAGAGGUGAAAUUCGUAGAUAUUAGAAAGAAUACCAAUUGCGAAGGCAGCUUUCUGGAUCAUUACUGACACUGAGGAACGAAAGCAUGGGUAGCGAAGAGGAUUAGAUACCCUCGUAGUCCAUGCCGUAAACGAUGUGUGUUAGACGUUGGAAAUUUAUUUUCAGUGUCGCAGCGAAAGCGAUAAACACACCGCCUGGGGAGUACGACCGCAAGGUUAAAACUCAAAUGAAUUGAUGGGGACCCGCACAAGUAGUGGAGCAUGUGGUUUAAUUCGAAGAUACGCGCAGAACCUUACCAACACUUGACAUGUUCGUCGCGACUCUAAGAGAUUAGAGUUUUCGGUUCGGCCGGACGAAACACAGGUGCUGCAUGGCUGUCGUCAGCUCGUGUCGUGAGAUGUUGGGUUAAGUCCCGCAACGAGCGCAACCCUCACUUUUAGUUGCCAUCAUUAAGUUGGGCACUCUGAAAGAACUGCCAGUGAUAAGCUGGAGGAAGGUGGGGAUGACGUCAAGUCCUCAUGGCCCUUACGUGUUGGGCUACACACGUGCUACAAUGGUAUCUACAACAGGAAGCAAGACUGCGAGGUCAAGCAAAUCCUUAAAAGAUACCUCAGUUCGGAUUGCACUCUGCAACUCGAGUGCAUGAAGCUGGAAUUACUAGUAAUCGUGGAUCAGCGUGCCACGGUGAAUGCGUUCCCGGGUCU
RNAcentral lists this ribosomal RNA (1306 nucleotides) under uncultured bacterium. RNAcentral's name for it is "bacterial SSU rRNA". It matches the Rfam family "Bacterial small subunit ribosomal RNA", at positions 28 to 1381 of the family's 1533-position model. The record is from RNAcentral.